UACGUAGGUGGCGAGCGUUGUCCGGAAUUACUGGGUGUAAAGGGCGUGUAGGCGGGGAUACAAGUCAGAUGUGAAAUACCGUGGCUUAACCACGGGGCUGCAUCUGAAACUGUAUAUCUUGAGUGUCGGAGAGGAAAGUGGAAUUCCCAGUGUAGCGGUGAAAUGCGUAGAUAUUGGGAGGAACACCAGUGGCGAAGGCGACUCGCUGGAUCAUUGCUGACGCUGAGACGCGAAAGCGUGGGGAGCAAACAGG
This 253-nucleotide ribosomal RNA is filed under the name uncultured bacterium. RNAcentral's name for it is "partial 16S ribosomal RNA". It matches the Rfam family "Bacterial small subunit ribosomal RNA", at positions 524 to 776 of the family's 1533-position model. The record is from RNAcentral.